This 424-nucleotide ribosomal RNA is filed under the name Desulfobacterales bacterium. RNAcentral's name for it is "bacterial SSU rRNA". It matches the Rfam family "Bacterial small subunit ribosomal RNA", at positions 1 to 403 of the family's 1533-position model. The record is from RNAcentral. Lineage: Bacteria; Pseudomonadati; Thermodesulfobacteriota; Desulfobacteria; Desulfobacterales.
UUUAAUUGGAGAGUUUGAUCCUGGCUCAGAAUGAACGCUGGCGGCGUGCUUAACACAUGCAAGUCGUACGAGAACUCUUUAGCUUGCUAAAGAUAGUAAAGUGGCGCACGGGUGAGUAACGCGUGGGUAAUCUGCCUCUGAAUCGGGGAUAACAUUGCGAAAGCGAUGCUAAUACCGGAUAACAUCUCAAAACCAUCUGGUUUUGAAAUUAAAAAUGGCCUCUACAUGUAAGCUGUUGUUUGGAGAUGAGCCCGCGUACCAUUAGCUUGUUGGUAGGGUAAUGGCCUACCAAGGCCACGAUGGUUAGCUGGUCUGAGAGGAUGAUCAGCCACACUGGAACUGACACACGGUCCAGACUCCUACGGGAGGCAGCAGUGAGGAAUUUUGCGCAAUGGGGGAAACCCUGACGCAGCAACGCCGCGUG